Molecule: ribosomal RNA, 464 nt
Filed under: uncultured bacterium
Lineage: Bacteria
Description: partial 16S ribosomal RNA
Rfam family: Bacterial small subunit ribosomal RNA
Source: RNAcentral
CUACGGGAUGCAGCAGUGGGGAAUAUUGCACAAUGGGCGCAAGCCUGAUGCAGCCAUGCCACGUGUAUGAAGAAGGCCUUCGGGUUGUAAAGUACUUUCAGCGGGGAGGAAGGGAGUAAAGUUAAUACCUUUGCUCAUUGACGUUACCCGCAGAAGAAGCACCGGCUAACUCCGUGCCAGCAGCCGCGGUAAUACGGAGGGUGCAAGCGUUAAUCGGAAUUACUGGGCGUAAAGCGCACGCAGGCGGUUUGUUAAGUCAGAUGUGAAAUCCCCGGGCUCAACCUGGGAACUGCAUCUGAUACUGGCAAGCUUGAGUCUCGUAGGGGGGGGUAGAAUUCCAGGUGUAGCGGUGAAAUGCGUAGAGAUCUGGAGGAAUACCGGUGGCGAAGGCGGCCCCCUGGACGAAGACUGACGCUCAGGUGCGAAAGCGUGGGGAGCAAACAGGAUUAGAUACCCGAGUAGUC